UGGGGAAUAUUGCGCAAUGGGCGGAAGCCUGACGCAGCGACGCCGCGUGGGGGAUGACGGCCUUCGGGUUGUAAACCUCUUUCGACCGGGACGAAGCGAGAGUGACGGUACCGGUAUAAGAAGCACCGGCCAACUACGUGCCAGCAGCCGCGGUAAUACGUAGGGUGCGAGCGUUGUCCGGAAUUAUUGGGCGUAAAGAGCUCGUAGACGGUGUGUCACGUCGAUCGUGAAAACUUACAGCUUAACUGUGAGCGUGCGGUCGAUACGGGCAUCACUGGAGUUCGGCAGGGGAGACUGGAAUUCCUGGUGUAGCGGUGAAAUGCGCAGAUAUCAGGAGGAACACCGGUGGCGAAGGCGGGUCUCUGGGCCGAUACUGACGCUGAGGAGCGAAAGCGUGGGGAGCGAACAGG
This 410-nucleotide ribosomal RNA is filed under the name Bacillota bacterium. Its description in RNAcentral is "Firmicutes bacterium partial 16S ribosomal RNA". It matches the Rfam family "Bacterial small subunit ribosomal RNA", at positions 355 to 776 of the family's 1533-position model. Lineage: Bacteria; Bacillati; Bacillota. The record is from RNAcentral.